UUUCCGUAGGUGAACCUGCGGAAGGAUCAUUAAUGAGUUGUCAUGGGGUUCGAUGCUGGCAGCCAAUUUUUGGAUGCAUGUGCUUGCCCUAACAACCAUCUUCCAAACACCUGUGCACAUUUUUGAGGGAGUCUUGAGUUGGUUGCCGCUCUUGGGUGAUUUUCUCACAUUCCCUUAAAUCAUUAUACACCAUUAACAAUGUUGAACGUGCUCUGUGCCGCAAGGCUAUUAAUAUAAUACAACUUUUAACAACGGAUCUCUUGGCUCUC
Molecule: unclassified non-coding RNA, 269 nt
Filed under: plant metagenome
Description: partial contains small subunit ribosomal RNA, internal transcribed spacer 1, and 5.8S ribosomal RNA
Source: RNAcentral